Molecule: long non-coding RNA, 392 nt
Organism: Lolium rigidum
Lineage: Eukaryota; Viridiplantae; Streptophyta; Magnoliopsida; Poales; Poaceae
Exons: 2
Source: RefSeq, a predicted model, not a curated record
AUGCCAAUGUGAUGUGUCCGAGGCCCAUCGAGUAGUCACGGCAAUGAGGUCCGCCAAUGAUGCCAUCCUCUACUGCAAGUAUCAUAGCUGAAGGUGCAUGAACACUUGAGGCAGUGAAUCAGCCAAUCACCUGACGUAAUCAACUUACUCCAGAAAUACGUUCAGAAGUGGAAGAUGAGAUGGUAUCCCCGUGUGGCACAUAAAUGGGGAAAAUAGGGGGGAUAAAAUGUGACACGGGAUUUGCUUAAAUGUGGUAAAAUGUAACAUAACUUCAUGAAUGUUGUAAAGUAGGGUUACAAGGAGCUUUGUAUGCGGUAAAGUCUAUCAUGUAAAUUUGAUCAUCAUGCAUUAUGUUGCUGGACUAAGAAAUAAGAUUGUGACUUUUGGAUUUA